This 497-nucleotide ribosomal RNA is filed under the name uncultured bacterium. RNAcentral describes it as "partial 16S ribosomal RNA". It matches the Rfam family "Bacterial small subunit ribosomal RNA", at positions 28 to 507 of the family's 1533-position model. The record is from RNAcentral.
GAUGAACGCUGGCGGCGUGCCUAAUACAUGCAAGUCGAGCGAACAGACGAUGAGCUUGCUCCUCUGACGUUAGCGGCGGACGGGUGAUUAACACGUGGAUAACCUACCUAUAAUACUGGGAUAACUUCGGGAAACCUGAGCUAAUACCGGAUAAUAUAUUGAACCGCAUGGUUCAAUAGUUAAAGACGGUUUUGCUGUCACUUAUAGAUGGAUCCGCGCCGCAUUAGCUAGUUGGUAAGGUAACGGCUUACCAAGGCAACGAGGCGUAGCCGACCUGAGAGGGGGAUCGGCCACACGGGAACUGAGACACGGUCCAGACUCCUAAGGGAGGCAGCAGUAGGGAAUCUUCCGCAAAGGGGGAAAGCCUGACGGAGCAACGCCGCGUGAGUGAUGAAGGUCUUCGGAUCGUAAAACUCUGUUAUUAGGGAAGAACAAAUGUGUAAGUAAAUAUGCACGUCUUGACGGUACCUAAUCAGAAAGCCACGGCUAACUACGUG